GCCGCCCGGUGCAGGACUCCAGCCUUCGCCCUCACAGGCAGUGCCCACACGAGGGCAGCCACGCACCUGUGGUCCUGCAGAUACGAGAAGGGAGCCCGACGUCCAGGUGGCGAGCAGAGAGGACACAGCACAUCGAUGAAGCCCAUUUCAAGCCUGACUUCCCUUCCUGCCGAGUGCUUGGCCCACAGCCCAGGAACGUCUACCAGAUACAGCCUGACUCCCGGGUUGGAAGGGGCUCUUCCAUCGACUCCGCACCCUUGGGGGUGCAAGGUGUGUGUGUGUGUGCGUGUGUGUGCAUGAGUCCCUGUGUACGCAGUCGUGCACGCUCAACCAGGAGACAAGAUUUUAGCUCUUUUGAGGCUCCUGACGUGACACCUGCAGCCAGGUGAGAAUGUAGCAAACACGGCAUGAAAGGAAAGCAAAGUGCAUUUCUCAGGAGCUGAAGGGAGGGGCGACUGUGUCUGCAAAUGUCAGGUUCGUUUCAUGUUUGCGUCGAAGACGUGUUCAACUCUGGUGCAGACGUCUGGCACCAGACCAGGCUUGAUGCCCUAGGCUGAAAUCGGGGAGAGCUUACAGGAUCAGACAGACACGCUUCUCUUUAGCGGGUGCGGGGUUUCUGCUGGGCAGUGCACUAUUGCGCCGUUAACCCACACUCGUCCAGGAAGGACCCAUCCUUUCUGUGGUCAUGAAAGCCGCAGUUACUCACUCGGACAAGAUACAGGCCGAGUCCGCUGCUCCUCUGGCUGAGGCUGCUGCUGGGGUUUGCGGAUCGAGUCUGAAAUCUUGUUUCAUGCUCCGUGCAUAGUUUUGCUUCUUUCCAAUGACUCCAUUCUCUUGGCACUUUUUAUGCUCAGAACCAAGUGGCAAACAAUAGUCUUGAGCUAAUGAAAGCGUCCGUGGAGCUAUGGAUGAACUCCCAGAUUGGAGCUGGGUGGCGUGUGUGACACAGGCGUCCAGAAACUCCGUAUGGGGAGGCACUGCGGGGCUACCUCCUUUGGGGCAGCCGCUGUCCCCACGUCUACUGCCCAGGAGUAGCAGCCGAGUGGGCUGCCCAUUCAGGAGCUAACGACCCAAAUUCACAUCGGCCUGUGUUCAUGGGGAUCAUCGUGAUUUUGCAUGUGGUACACCUGUCCGGAGCACAACACAGGCCGUCCACACAUGCCAGACAGUCUUACCAGAGCUCUGUAAUCUGGAAAAGGGCACACUCUGUGGGACAGAGAAGCGUGGAGAUCCGGACCAGUGCUUACCAGGUUGUUGUUUAAAUGUAAAAGUACGGGGUACAAAUGGCUCAGUGACUGUUGUAACUAAUAUUCCAUGUGUCAGACUGCAUUUGUACCCUCGCCAUGUUCCUGAAAGCCCACAUGGCGCUGGGAUGCCAGCUCCUCUCUG
This 1389-nucleotide long non-coding RNA is filed under the name Ursus maritimus (polar bear). Its description in RNAcentral is "lncRNA (ENSUMAG00000009697.1)". The record is from RNAcentral. Lineage: Eukaryota; Metazoa; Chordata; Mammalia; Carnivora; Ursidae.